GAUGAACACUAGCGGCAGGCUUAAUACAUGCAAGUCGAGGGGCAGCAGGAAUAGCAAUAUUUGCUGGCGACCGGCGCACGGGUGCGUAACACGUAUACAAUCUGCCUUUAACAGGGGGAUAGCCCGGAGAAAUCCGGAUUAAUACCCCAUAACAAAAGAACAAGCAUUUGUUUUAUUUAAAAGCUCAGGCGGCUAGAGAUGAGUAUGCGUCUGAUUAGCUAGUUGGUGAGGUAACGGCUCACCAAGGCGACGAUCAGUAGAGGAUCUGAGAGGAUUAACCCCCACACGGAUACUGAGACACGGAUCCGACUCCUACGGGAGGCAGCAGUAAGGAAUAUUGGACAAUGCCCGCAAGGGUGAUCCAGCCAUGCCGCGUGCAGGAAGACGGCCCUAUGGGUUGUAAACUGCUUUUGUACCGGAGAAAACCUCCCCUCGUGAGGGGAGCUGAUAGUAUGGUAAGAAUAAGCAUCGGCUAACUUCGUGCCAGCAGCCGCCGCGG
This 499-nucleotide ribosomal RNA is filed under the name uncultured bacterium. RNAcentral describes it as "partial 16S ribosomal RNA". It matches the Rfam family "Bacterial small subunit ribosomal RNA", at positions 28 to 523 of the family's 1533-position model. The record is from RNAcentral.